Molecule: ribosomal RNA, 417 nt
Filed under: uncultured bacterium
Lineage: Bacteria
Description: bacterial SSU rRNA
Rfam family: Bacterial small subunit ribosomal RNA
Source: RNAcentral
AACGAACGCUGGCGGCAUGCCUAACACAUGCAAGUCGAACGAGACCUUCGGGUCUAGUGGCGCACGGGUGCGUAACGCGUGGGAAUCUGCCCUUGGGUUCGGAAUAACAGCGAGAAAUUGCUGCUAAUACCGGAUGAUGACGUAAGUCCAAAGAUUUAUCGCCCAAGGAUGAGCCCGCGUAGGAUUAGCUAGUUGGUGAGGUAAAGGCUCACCAAGGCGACGAUCCUUAGCUGGUCUGAGAGGAUGAUCAGCCACACUGGGACUGAGACACGGCCCAGACUCCUACGGGAGGCAGCAGUGGGGAAUAUUGGACAAUGGGCGAAAGACCUGAUCCAGCAAUGCCGCGUGAGUGAUGAAGGCCUUAGGGGUUGUAAAAGCUCUUUUACCGGAUGAUAAUGACAGUACCGGGAGAAUAAG